GAAGUGGGGAUCGGCGAGCGGGUGGGUGCGCCUCGGGCCGCGGGACUCGCAGCCGCCGCCGCCGCUGCCGCCUCUACGGCCGCGUCAGAACAGAAGAGAGGAAGGGGAGGAGCCGAGUCGAGCCUAAGCUGCCGCCCGAUCUUACCCCUGACCCGAGGGCGGCCUGGAGGCUUGGUCUGUAGCGGUUUCCUUCGGGGCAGGUGGGGACUGCUCCUUUGGGAGGAAGGAGGAGGCCCAGGCCGCGCUUUCAGGCAGCUGCGCGCACCACCCGAAGGUGAGGCAUUUGGCCCCAAACAGACCCUCGAAAAGCCGGACUGAUCGAGGAGUUACCCUACAGCCUGAUCUGCUGCACCUGCUCCAGGGAGAGAGCGCCCCACCCUUCCCGUGGUGUGGGGUGAGACCCGGCGUUGGAUAACGUGUGGUCGGGCCGAGCAAAUGUUUGAUGAAUGAAUGAAUGAAUGAAUGCCUCUCUCACGUGGCACUCGCGAAGCUCAGAGGAUAUGGUGGAAGUGCAAGCGCUUUGUAAACUACAGUGCAUUGUAAAAAUGAGUUGUAAUACAUUCCUCCCCUCCCCCUAGCCAUGAAAGGAAACAGGGGUGCGGCUUGAGUACAGAGUCACAACCUGAGUCUUUAGUGGAAAAGGAGACGAAAUGCCGGGCAGGGGAAGGGACCCAUCCUCGCGCAGAUUCUUAGGGCGGCGGGAAGGGAGGAUUGGAAGGGAGCCAUCCUCUGGGAGAUUGUUGAAGGAUUUUUGACUGUCAGGGGAAGAAUUUAAUAGUGCCUCAUUUUUACGAAUGGUUCUUUCUUAUGAUUUGGAGCUUUCGAAAGCUUCUGGUCUUGGUUCAUCCGUGUACGUUGUCAUCAAGAAAUGUUGGCCUGUGUUUCAGGUCUGACUCAAAGGUUAUUUUCUUUCUAAAAUAAAUGUUAUUACUAUUAUGCAGCUUUCCCUACAGAUGUUGUCCUGGAAAGGAAAGUCAAGUAAAAACUCAUGAAGUUUAAAGUGUAGUUCUCUAGGAAAAGAAAUUUAAGAUAAAAGGACCAGAAUCCUCAGAAAUCUGUCUUCAGUGAAUAGUAUGAGAAAAAGAUUAAAGCAGCAGCAAUAAUGAAAGCAGAUUCCACAAUUCUGUCCCUGGACCCUAGUACACUCUACCUCCUUGGGAAGUAGUAGUAAUGGAUUUUACAAGUCUUUCCACCUGGAGGAGGGGGUAAGAUAGGAGCAAGUGUAUUAUAGACAAAUGUGGGAAGCUCUGGGUUUCUCCCACUACUGCCACUACCAUCUGCAAACGGUAGACUAAGGAAACUUUUAACUGGGUAAAUCCAAGGGCUCGUGUUCAUUAAAAUGCUGCGGGAAAGGUGGUGACAGGGGCAAAGGAGGAUGUGGCAAAACCAAGGAGAGACUCACAGACUAGCACCUGACCCUACUGCCCUUGACCUGAAGUUCCAAGAGCCAGGUUAAAUAUCCUGCUUAAAUUACCUUGGAUUUUUCUGUCUUUACAUGACCAAUCCCCUGCUACAGCCUUCCAAAUAAGACUCACAGUUAAUCAGACCAACAAGUGAUGAUCUCACAUGGCUACAAAAUAAAUAUUUUUUGUUUUUCCCUCUCUUCCUAUCUUACAGCAGGGGAAUGGUGGAAAUUAAAGGAGUAAAACACACAGAUUUAGGGGAUUUUGUGAAGCUAAACACCUCAGAGAGUUUAACCUUUGUGGGCUUUGAAGGAAAAGAGUGCAAACAUCAGAGUUCUGCAGCCCAGCGGAGAACACCUCCAGUUAAGUGUGUACCACAUAGGGUUUUUCAGCAGCGUGAUCUUCUGUUUUCGUUGUCAGUGGCUCCACCUUACAACCUCGGUGCUGAGGAACAGAAGGGCACUCAGGAGAGCCUGAGCCACUUACUUAGAAAGUAUUUAAUAACAGCACACUAAGCUUACUGGGCUAGAUACCCACCUCAACACCCAGCUUGAUAACAGGAGGAAACAGCUGGAACUGGAGACUGGAGAGAAGGAAGUUCAUACAUUUCCAACUUGGUCUGCAUCUCUUUAGUUCCUUGUAUUGCUUAUUAAUCCAGAGGAGAAAACAGCUACUUAAUUAAAAAUUCCAAAAAAUCUGAAGUUUUAGCUAAUAGUUCCUUCCCUGGUUCAUCAAUUUAAGAUAAGGAUCUAAAUACUGUGUUAAAAUAUAGAAAAAUGGAGACUCUUAUAAGGUUUUUGACCUCUACACUUGAAAGUGAGCUCUUACAAGACUAAUCAGUGUUUUGCUAUUCCACAUCAGUGGCUUUUACUGUCAAAGAUUGUGUAAGCUAAAUUAUCUGGCAAAAUUUUGCUUUCCAGGAAUACUAUCUAUAUUAAUUUUAACAUUUUUAUUGUGAAAUAUAGUUUAAAUACAUAAAGCAAUUAUAUAGUAUAAGUGAUUAUGAAGGAAACCACCAUGUAACCAAUCAACCAGGUCAAGAAAUGGAAUAUUUCCAGCACCUCAGAAGUUCCCCUCCCUGCCAUGACCUUCCCAAACACAACUCUUUCCCUCCCUCCUAAAUGUAGCCAUUAUUCUAACAUUUGUGAUAAUUAUUUCCCUGCUUUUCUUUGUCGCUUUGUCACAAGCGUGCAUCCCUAAACAAUAUAUUGUUUAGUUUCACUCUUUCUUUUGAACUUUAUGUAACUGGAACAAUAUAAUAUGUAAUCUGUUGUUCUUGCUGCUUUUGCUCAACAUUGUUUUUAAUUCAUGUUGUUCAGGUUGUUCCUAUAGCUGUAAUUUGUGCAUUUUCAUUGCUGCAUAUUACAGUGUCCCAUUGUAACAGUAUGUGACAAUGUGUUUAGCCAUUCUAUUGCUGAUGGACAUCUGGGUUGUUUCCAGUUUAGGAUUGUUAUAAAUGCUAAUGUGAACAUUCUUCAUAUAUGUAUUCCAUCACAUCUACAUCAGUUUCUGUAUAGCAUAUACCUGGGAGUGUAAUAUGUAUCAUAAACUUGAAUAAAUAAUGCCAAGUUCUUUUCUAGAGGGUUACACACUCAACA
RNAcentral lists this long non-coding RNA (3001 nucleotides) under Pongo abelii (Sumatran orangutan). RNAcentral's name for it is "lincRNA". Lineage: Eukaryota; Metazoa; Chordata; Mammalia; Primates; Hominidae. The record is from RNAcentral.